UACGGAGGGUGCAAGCGUUAUCCGGAUUCACUGGGUUUAAAGGGUGCGUAGGCGGAUUUGUAAGUCCGUGGUGAAAUCUCCGAGCUUAACUCGGAAACUGCCAUGGAUACUAUAAGUCUUGAAUGUUGUGGAGGUUUGCGGAAUAUGUCAUGUAGCGGUGAAAUGCUUAGAUAUGACAUAGAACACCGAUUGCGAAGGCAGCAGGCUACACAAAUAUUGACGCUGAGGCACGAAAAGCGUGGGGAUCAAACAGG
Molecule: ribosomal RNA, 254 nt
Filed under: uncultured bacterium
Lineage: Bacteria
Description: partial 16S ribosomal RNA
Rfam family: Bacterial small subunit ribosomal RNA
Source: RNAcentral